RNAcentral lists this ribosomal RNA (496 nucleotides) under uncultured bacterium. RNAcentral's name for it is "bacterial SSU rRNA". It matches the Rfam family "Bacterial small subunit ribosomal RNA", at positions 62 to 543 of the family's 1533-position model. The record is from RNAcentral.
UCGAGCGAUCUGAGGGAGCUUGCUCCCAAGAUUAGCGGCGGACGGGUGAGUAACACGUGGGUAACCUGCCUGUAAGAUUGGGAUAACUCCGGGAAACCGGAGCUAAUACCGGAUAACAUUUUGAACCGCAUGGUUCAAAAUUGAAAGAUGGUUUCGGCUAUCACUUACAGAUGGACCCGCGGCGCAUUAGCUAGUUGGUGAGGUAACGGCUCACCAAGGCGACGAUGCGUAGCCGACCUGAGAGGGUGAUCGGCCACACUGGGACUGAGACACGGCCCAGACUCCUACGGGAGGCAGCAGUAGGGAAUCUUCCGCAAUGGACGAAAGUCUGACGGAGCAACGCCGCGUGAACGAUGAAGGCCUUCGGGUCGUAAAGUUCUGUUGUUAGGGAAGAACAAGUACCAGAGUAACUGCUGGUACCUUGACGGUACCUAACCAGAAAGCCACGGCUAACUACGUGCCAGCAGCCGCGGUAAUACGUAGGUGGCAAGCGUUG